Molecule: transfer RNA, 64 nt
Filed under: Sorineuchora shanensis
Lineage: Eukaryota; Metazoa; Arthropoda; Insecta; Blattodea; Pseudophyllodromiidae
Description: tRNA-Thr
Source: RNAcentral
GUUUUAAUAAUUAAAUAAAAAUAUUUGUGUCGUAAACCAAAUUUAAGGGUAACCUUUUAAAACU